Long non-coding RNA from Ornithorhynchus anatinus (platypus), 370 nucleotides. RefSeq lists it as uncharacterized. The transcript has 2 exons. NCBI's taxonomy places the organism in Eukaryota, Metazoa, Chordata, Mammalia, Monotremata, Ornithorhynchidae. The record is from RefSeq and is a predicted model, not a curated record.
AGGGUGCUGGGGAGGAAGAAGAGGAAAACAAGGACAAGGAGGCGGCCCAAGUUGGAAAUCCGAUCAGUAGACCAGAUUUACCAGCUAAGAGGUGAAAACAGACAGCAAAGAUCUCAUCAACUCCUUGCCCUCUCUUUCCUUAAAGCCUGCUCAGCAGCCCUGGUAACCAGGAAACAGCUUCAUUAGCCUGCCACCAGGUAGCUGGACACUGCUCCUUGUAGGGAGGGACAUGUCUACCAACUCUGCUGUAUAGUACUCUCCCAUACGCUUACUACAAUGCUCUGCACUGUACAGUAAGCACUCAAUACAUGUCAUUGAUGAUGAUAAUGACUGCCUGGGCAAAACAGCUAAUAAAAUAGGCCACAGAAAA